This 459-nucleotide ribosomal RNA is filed under the name uncultured bacterium. RNAcentral's name for it is "bacterial SSU rRNA". It matches the Rfam family "Bacterial small subunit ribosomal RNA", at positions 28 to 507 of the family's 1533-position model. The record is from RNAcentral.
GAUGAACGCUGGCGGCGUGCUUAAUACAUGCAAGUCGAACGGAGACUGUAGCAAUACUGUCUUAGUGGCGAACGGGUGAGUAACGCGUUGGUGACCUGCCCCGAAGAGGGGGAUAACAGUCCGAAAGGAUUGCUAAUACCCCAUGUGGUCGUUUGGAUUAGAUGCCUUACGACUAAACGGAUUUAUUCGCUUCGGGAGGGGCCUGCGUCCCAUCAGCUAGUUGGUAGGGUAAUAGCCUACCAAGGCGAUGACGGGUAGGGGACCUGAGAGGGUGGCCCCCCACAAUGGAACUGAAACACGGUCCAUACACCUACGGGUGGCAGCAGUAGGGAAUAUUGGUAAUCUGGGAAACCGGGAACCAGCAACGCCGCGUGCGCGAUGAAGGCCUUCGGUUGUAAGCGCUUUUAAAGGGUAUGAGGAAGGACAGUACCUUAGAAUAAGACCUCGGCUAACUACGUG